GUAGUCUCGCACAGAUGCAUAUCAAUAAGCGGAGGAAAAGAAACUAACAAGGAUUCCCCUAGUAACGGCGAGUGAAGCGGGAAGAGCUCAAAUUUGAAAUCUUAAAGGGUUUCCCUUUACGAAUUGUAGUUUAAAGAAGUGUUUUCUGUUGAGGUUUUGGUAAAAGUUCUUUGGAAUAGGACAUCAUAGAGGGUGAGAAUCCCGUAUUUGACCUUUACUUUCAACUUUGUGAUACACUUUCAAAGAGUCGGAUUGUUUGGGAAUGCAGUCCAAAAUGGGUGGUAAAUUUCAUCUAAAGCUAAAUAUUGGCGAGAGACCGAUAGCGAACAAGUACCGUGAGGGAAAGAUGAAAAGAACUUUGAAAAGAGAGUUAAACAGUACGUGAAAUUGUCAAAAGGGAAGCGUUUGACACCAGUGUUGUUUUUCUGAAAAUCAAUUAAAGAACUGUUUAUGCUAAGCUGUUUAGACUUUAUCAGCUAACUGUUUAGUUUUGAGCUUUUCUUUAAUGCACUUUUCAGUUAACAAGUCAACAUCAAUUUCUUUUGCUGUAAAAAAGCUUGAGGAAGGUGGCUUGAGAUUCGUCUUAAGUGUUUAUAGCCUCUUGCCUAUGCAGUCGGAGAGAUUGAGGUCUGCAGCGUAGAUCCUUCGGGGCUAAAUGCAUUUAUGCUAAGUUAUAGCAUUUUAUAGACAACUUGUUGACUAUGAUUUGUCUUGUAGCUUACUCGCUUAUGUUAUUUUACCUACGCUUAGGAUGUUGAGGACUCUACAGAGAUA
Molecule: ribosomal RNA, 774 nt
Filed under: uncultured Neocallimastigales
Lineage: Eukaryota; Fungi; Neocallimastigomycota; Neocallimastigomycetes; Neocallimastigales
Description: partial large subunit ribosomal RNA
Rfam family: Eukaryotic large subunit ribosomal RNA
Source: RNAcentral